AUUGCCCUAGUAACGGCGAGUGAAGCGGCAACAGCUCAAAUUUGAAAUCUGGCCCUCGGGUCCGAAUUGUAAUUUGUAGAGGAUGCUUUUGGCGCGGUGCCUACCGAGUUCCCUGGAACGGGACGCCUUAGAGGGUGAGAGCCCCGUACGGUUGGACACCAAGCCUCUGUAAAGCUCCUUCGACGAGUCGAGUAGUUUGGGAAUGCUGCUCUAAAUGGGAGGUAAAUUUCUUCUAAAGCUAAAUAUUGGCCAGAGACCGAUAGCGCACAAGUAGAGUGAUCGAAAGAUGAAAAGCACUUUGAAAAGAGGGUUAAAUAGCACGUGAAAUUGUUGAAAGGGAAGCGUUUGCGACCAGACCUUUUCCCGGCGGAUCAUCCGGUGUUCUCACCGGUGCACUUCGCCGGGUUUAGGCCAGCAUCGGUUUUUGUAGGGGGAUAAAAGCUUUGGGAACGUAGCUCCCUCGGGAGUGUUAUAGCCCUUUGCAUAAUACCCUUACGGGGACCGAGGACCGCGCUUCUGCAAGGAUGCUGGCGUAAUGGUCGUCAACGACCCGUCUG
RNAcentral lists this ribosomal RNA (557 nucleotides) under uncultured fungus. Its description in RNAcentral is "eukaryotic LSU rRNA". It matches the Rfam family "Eukaryotic large subunit ribosomal RNA", at positions 74 to 655 of the family's 3401-position model. The record is from RNAcentral. Lineage: Eukaryota; Fungi.